AGAGUUUGAUCCUGGCUCAGGAUGAACGCUGGCGGCGUGCUUAACACAUGCAAGUCGAACGAUGAAGCUGGAACUUGUUCUGGUGGAUUAGUGGCGAACGGGUGAGUAACACGUGAGCAACCUGCCCAAGACUUUCGGGAUAAGCCUGGGAAACUGGGUCUAAUACUGGAUAUGACCUUUCAUCGCAUGGUGUUUGGUGGAAAGAUUUUUUGGUUUUGGAUGGGCUCGCGGCCUAUCAGCUUGUUGGUGAGGUAAUGGCUUACCAAGGCUUCGACGGGUAACCGGCCUGAGAGGGUGACCGGUCACACUGGGACUGAGACACGGCCCAGACUCCUACGGGAGGCAGCAGUGGGGAAUAUUGCACAAUGGGCGAAAGCCUGAUGCAGCGACGCCGCGUGAGGGAUGACGGCCUUCGGGUUGUAAACCUCUUUCAGUCAGGAACAAGCCUUCGGGUGAGGGUACUGGCAGAAGAAGCACCGGCUAACUACGUGCCAGCAGCCGCGGUAAUACGUAGGGUGCGAGCGUUAUCCGGAAUUAUUGGGCGUAAAGAGCUUGUAGGCGGUUUGUCGCGUCUGCUGUGAAAGCCCGGGGCUUAACUCCGGGUCUGCAGUGGGUACGGGCAGGCUAGAGUGAUGUAGGGGUAACUGGAAUUCCUGGUGUAGCGGUGGAAUGCGCAGAUAUCAGGAAGAACACCGAUGGCGAAGGCAGGUUACUGGGCAUUUACUGACGCUGAGAAGCGAAAGCAUGGGGAGCGAACAGGAUUAGAUACCCUGGUAGUCCAUGCCGUAAACGUUGGGCACU
RNAcentral lists this ribosomal RNA (801 nucleotides) under Arthrobacter sp. Zn12. RNAcentral describes it as "bacterial SSU rRNA". It matches the Rfam family "Bacterial small subunit ribosomal RNA", at positions 8 to 817 of the family's 1533-position model. Lineage: Bacteria; Bacillati; Actinomycetota; Actinomycetes; Micrococcales; Micrococcaceae. The record is from RNAcentral.